Long non-coding RNA from Ictalurus furcatus (blue catfish), 2246 nucleotides. RefSeq lists it as uncharacterized. The record is from RefSeq and is a predicted model, not a curated record. The transcript has 3 exons. Lineage: Eukaryota; Metazoa; Chordata; Actinopteri; Siluriformes; Ictaluridae.
ACACGCACACACUCUCACACACACUCUCACUCACUCUCUCUCACACACACUCUCACUCACUCUCUCUCUCACACACACACACUCUCUCUCUCUCACACACACACACACACUUUCUCUCACACACACACACUUUCUCUCACACACUCACUCUCUCUCUCUCUCUCUCACACUUUCACACACACACUCUCUCUCUCACACACACUCUCUCUGUCUCACACACACACACACACACUCUCUCUCUCUCACACAUACACUCUCUCUCUCACACACUCUCUCUCUCACACACACACACAUACACACUCUCUUUCUCUCUCACACAUACACACUCUUUCUUUCUCUCACACGCUCUCUUUCUCUCUUUCUUUCUUUGUCUGUCUCUCAAAAGUCAUUCCUCCUCUCUUUCUGUCAGUGAUUUUAUAUCUCUGUCUCGUCCUCUUUUAAGCUUUUCUAUCUCUGUUAUAGUUUUUUUUGCUUUUGUUUAUUUCUUUAACUCAGUUAAUUAAUUCAUUUAGUCAUUUAUUUAUGGCCUUUCUCCAUAUAUUCAUUUCUUUAUUUUUUUCUUCAUUAGUUCAUGCAAUUAAUUUGUCAAUUCUUUAUUUGUUCUCCAUUCUUUCAUUCAUUCAUCCAUCAAUUCAUUUCCCCAUUCUUUUUCUCCAUUCUUUUCUAUUUUGUUUUCUUUCAUUCAUUCAUGCAUUCCUUUAUCCAUCCAAUCCAUUAAUUAAUUUCUUCAUUGUUUUGUUCUUCUCUCUUAAUUCAUUAUUUCUUCAUACUCAUAUUCAUUGUUUCUUUCUCAUGUCCGUCAUGAACAUUUACACAUGAACACUCAAACUGAGCGAGUAUACAUUACAGUGCAGUUGUCUGAUAGCUCCAGUGGGGUUGCAUCCUCCAGCAGAGAGGCCAACACUUGAUCCACCACUUCACCGCACCUUUAACUGAGGGUGAAUGACUGAUGGGGGGCGUAGUUACAUUUAGGUCUGGAACGGGAAGAAAGAUAUGAUAAGUGUAUUCUUUGUUGCAUUUAUCGAUAUCACUACUACUACUACUACACUCUAAAAACUGCUGGUUUAAAAAAUAACCCAACCUUAACCCCACUGCGAGGUAACUAUGGGACAGAACACCCGCUGGUUGGUUUGACCAAAGUGCUGGGUUUUACCAUUUAUUUCAUUUGAUCCAUCCUUGUGGGUAAAAUUAACUCUCUUGCUGGGUUAAAUAUUAUCUAUACUUUCAUUAUUUCCAAAGUAUUACCUAUAACUAUAGGUUAUUUCCUGUCUCAUUGCCUUGCUACUUUUAUAUUUACCACCAACAACAACAACAGCAUCAACGAUAAUAAUAACAACAAUAACAAUAAAAAUAGCAAUAACAAAGGAAUGUAAUGCUAUAAUUAUUGUUGUUCUGUAAUACAAUAAUAUAAAAAGAGGCCACUGUAAAUGUGAUUUUAAUGAGUUUUCAAAUUUUUCCCAAAACAAUUUAUGACUGGAUGUAAGUGUCCGAACACACAUUUCCACACAUCCAACACCCACCUCCCCCACUAACCUCUCCCAUAGUUAAAACCACAGUUUUUUAUAGUACAACGUCUUUGCAGAACUGUGUAAAACAUUUAGGCACUGUAAUCUUAUCCAUCACACCAUACCACCAGGGUGGCACCUGAACACUCAAAAAUUCAUUCAUCCACAUGACAAUCUAUCCAAACAUUUAGAGUCAUUAAGAACUAUCUUCAGCCACAAGAACAAGAAGGAGUCCUGCAACAGAUGGCCAUUUAAGAUCCAUCCAUCCAUCCAUCCAUCUUCUAUGACGCUUAGCCUUCUUUUAGGGUCACGGGGAACCUGGAGCCUAUCCCAGGGAUCAGGAAACCGGAGUACCCGGAGGAAACCCCCGCAGCACAGGGAAAACAUGCAAACUCCGCACACAUAGGGCCACGGUGGGAAUCGAAACCCUGACCCUGGAGGUGUGAGGCAAACGUGCUAACCACUAAGCCAACAUGUGCCCCGCCAUUUAACAUAUGUUCCAAAAAACAUUCAAAACAUGUUAAAUGUCUGCUGAAAAAAAUUAACAGAUGACGACUCAUGUCCAUCGCGUGCUGGAUAGACCACAUGCUGGAGAAACUCCCAGCCAGGAGCAAACGGAGGUGGAUUUAGGUAUUCCAAUGGGAUUGUACCAGAAACACCAUGCACCUCUUGGUGGUCCCUGUUUGCAUCUAUCUGCAAUGCUGCAGGUUCAGUUGUGACUUCAGAUUCAUUGAUUUCCAU